GUGCCAGUAGUUCAGUUGGUUAGAGCGUCGGAUUGUGGUUCCGAAGGUCGUGGGUUCGAAUCCCACCUGGCACC
This 74-nucleotide transfer RNA is filed under the name Muribaculaceae bacterium. Its description in RNAcentral is "tRNA-His". It matches the Rfam family "tRNA". From Rfam's summary of the family: Transfer RNA (tRNA) molecules are approximately 80 nucleotides in length. Their secondary structure includes four short double-helical elements and three loops (D, anti-codon, and T loops). The record is from RNAcentral. Lineage: Bacteria; Pseudomonadati; Bacteroidota; Bacteroidia; Bacteroidales; Muribaculaceae.